This 344-nucleotide unclassified non-coding RNA is filed under the name soil metagenome. RNAcentral's name for it is "partial contains 5.8S ribosomal RNA, internal transcribed spacer 2, and large subunit ribosomal RNA". The stretch from base 1 to 120 matches the Rfam family "5.8S ribosomal RNA", at positions 35 to 154 of the family's 154-position model. The record is from RNAcentral.
GAUGAAGAACGCAGCGAAAUGCGAUAAGUAAUGUGAAUUGCAGAAUUCAGUGAAUCAUCGAGUCUUUGAACGCACAUUGCGCCCCCUGGUAUUCCGGGGGGCAUGCCUGUCCGAGCGUCAUUGCUGCCCUCAAGCACGGCUUGUGUGUUGGGCCUCCGUCCUCCUCCCGGGGGACGGGCCCGAAAGGCAGCGGCGGCACCGCGUCCGGUCCUCGAGCGUAUGGGGCUUCGUCACCCGCUCUUGUAGGCCCGGCCGGCGCUUGCCCACACAUCAAUCUUUUUUCCAGGUUGACCUCAGAUCAGGUAGGGAUACCCGCUGAACUUAAGCAUAUCAUAAGCGGAGGA